RNAcentral lists this long non-coding RNA (207 nucleotides) under Lathyrus oleraceus (garden pea). Its description in RNAcentral is "Pisum sativum (pea) long non-coding RNA (PSAT_LNC028672)". The record is from RNAcentral. Lineage: Eukaryota; Viridiplantae; Streptophyta; Magnoliopsida; Fabales; Fabaceae.
UGAAUGAAAGAUAAUCCUAUACAAUUAUGUUGUAUAACUUGUUUAAAAAUAAAACUAAAAUUACCACGUAACUAAAAUGUUCUACGCCAAGUGAAUAAUGCACAUUUUAAAAAACUUAAAAUCAACUAUAAUUCAGAAGUUAACACUAAGAUUUUGGACACCAAUUUCUCAACUAGUUCUGAAGUCUUAUGAACAACAAGACUUUUG